This is a long non-coding RNA of Ictalurus punctatus (channel catfish), 650 nucleotides long. Lineage: Eukaryota; Metazoa; Chordata; Actinopteri; Siluriformes; Ictaluridae. The record is from Ensembl.
CGGCGAACGCGCAGCUCCAACCACGACAAAACUGACGGAGUGACGAAAAGUUUUGCCAGACAGAGAAAGAAACUUUCUGUAACAAGGUGACAGCACUCGAGGCAGGCAGCUGUCCAGUCUGCGGACCGUCUCCAGAGAGAGAAAGGGAGGACAGGAAAUAGAGAGGAAAGACACACAGAGCGCGCGCGAGAGAGAGAAAGGAGGAAAACGGAGUACCCAGAGGAAACCCCUGAAGCACGGGGAGAGCAUGCAAACUCCACACACACAGGGUGAAGGCGGAAAUCGAACCCCCAACCCUGGACGUGCGAGGCAAACGUGUUAAUCACGAAGCCACUGGUCACGGGGAGCCUGGAGCCUAUCCCAGGGAGCAUCGGGCACAAGGCAGGGUGCACCCUGGACAGGGUGCCAAUCCAUCGCAAGCAAGAUAAUAUUAAAAUUGUUAUUCUUUUUUUUUUUUUUACCUUUGCAGAGACAGGAAGUUAAAGAUAUACAGUGCCCCCCACUAAUAUUGGUCUUUAUUGUUUAACCUUUUGAUCUUUUGUUAAAAAAAUUCACAAAAAUACUCUCAUGGAUAUCAGACAAUUGCAAACACAACACAGGUUUAUUAAAAAAAAAUCUUUGUUAAAUAUAGGUGUGAAACAAUUAUUGGC